RNAcentral lists this long non-coding RNA (1388 nucleotides) under Homo sapiens (human). Its description in RNAcentral is "HSALNT0251032". The record is from RNAcentral. Lineage: Eukaryota; Metazoa; Chordata; Mammalia; Primates; Hominidae.
CUCCACUCGACUGGAUUCAAAAUGGGUUAUCCAGAAACACUUCAAAAAGAACAGCCAUCCUAAAGAUAAGUCUUCAAGAUAAGAUUGAGCAUGUCCGCCAACCUAGGCACCCAUUUGCCUGAAGAUUUUUGGUGACACCUGAAGAGGUUGACUCUUAGGUUCCUCUCUCUAAACUCCAGAAAGACCACUCCUCUUCUGACACUUAAUUUGCUUCUAUGUGUUAAUGUUAUAGAUUAUUGAGCAGAAGCUCACACAUGCUCUGGGCACUCAGUAUUCCAGUUCCUAUCUUAAGUCCCCCUUGACUUUCCACCUGAGCACUUUUUCUUAGCCAAAGUGACAAGGAGGUAAUGUUUCCCUCUCUACCUACUGGGAGCAGCCCUGGUGGAUGGGAAUUAGAAGGUAAGUUCUUCAGCUUAUUCACAUCUCUGGGCAUGGGGGUGUGGGGGACCAUGGGCAUGUUUGAUUCUGUCUGCCAGAGUUCUCCAGAGUGAUGAACCCACUCGCCAUCAGAGGUACUCUGGUGCCACACCCCAUAAUACUCUUUAUUGGAUUCCUUCUCUUCCCCAUGUUACUUCCCCAUUCCCUAACCAGUGCUUCCUGGGCACAUCUCCCAGUGGCUGCUGUGCUGAAAUCUUGGUCUCAGCAUCUGCUCCUGGCCAAACUAAGACAAUUAUAUUAUUGCUUUCUUAUAUGUACUGCUUUUCUGAAAUCGCUAAUGGUAGACUUUUUAACUUUUAUAUUACGAAUUAUAAUACAUAUAAAAUGCACACUUUCUGCAUGUACAGCUCAAGGGAUUAUUGCAAAGUGAACACCAGCAUGUCCACCACGCAUGACAGAAAAUAAAACAGCGCCAGUGCUCCCAGAAGUCCCUGUGCUGCCUCCGCCCUUUCUUACAUGUCCCUCCUUCCCUAGCCACUAUCCUGACUUCUAAAACCAUCAAUAACUUUGCCUACUUUUGAACUUGAUAUAAAUGCACUUAUUCAAUAUACAUUCUUUCAGGUGUGACUUCUUUAACUCGCUAGUGUUUGUUGCCUUUCAUCUAUGAUGCUGUACAGGGUACAGUUCAUUAACUUGCACUGUGUCGUGCUCCAUUGUAUGGAUAUACCACAAUGUACUUAUCUAUUCUAUCAUGGAUAGUCAUUCUGGGUGAUUACAAAAACAAAACAAACAAACAAAAAAUGCUGCUGUGAACAUUCUUGUAUGUGCACAUGCAUACACAAUUCUGUUGGCUACAUACAUCAGGGUGGUCUCAUUGUAGACUUGGGGGCACUUGUGAUACUGGGUGGGAGAAAUGAUUUGUUUUUAGCAGGGGACCCUCUCUGGGUGCCCAUAAUAUGAUACCAUGCAUGCAGUUGGGUCCUUAUUAUUGCCAUUUAUAAAUGUGGCUA